RNAcentral lists this ribosomal RNA (789 nucleotides) under uncultured archaeon. RNAcentral's name for it is "bacterial SSU rRNA". It matches the Rfam family "Archaeal small subunit ribosomal RNA", at positions 85 to 879 of the family's 1478-position model. The record is from RNAcentral.
ACUGCUCAGUAACACGUGGAUAACCCGCCCUAGGGGAGGGGAUAACCCCGGGAAACUGGGGAUAAUACCCUAUAGGUUACAGAUGCUGGAAUGCCCUGUAACCAAAAACUCCGGCGCCCUAGGAUGGAUCUGCGGCCGAUUAGGUUGUUGUUGGGGUAACGGCCCAACAAGCCCGUAAACGGUACGGGUUGUGGGAGCAAGAGCCCGGAGUUGGAUUCUGAGACGCGAAUCCAGGCCCUACGGGGCGCAGCAGGCGCGAAACCUUUACAAUGCGGGCAACCGUGAUAAGGGAACCUCGAGUGCCUGUAAACGCAGGCUGUUCAGGUGUUUAAACCGCACCUGGAGAAAGGGCCGGGCAAGACCGGUGCCAGCCGCCGCGGUAAUACCGGCGGCUCGAGUGGUGGCCGCUUUUAUUGGGCUUAAAGCGUUCGUAGCUGGGUUGUUAAGUCUCUUGGGAAAUCUGGCGGCUUAACCGUCAGGCGUCUAAGGGAUACUGGCAAUCUUGGAACCGGGAGAGGUGAGGGGUACUUCGGGGGUAGGGGUGAAAUCCUGUAAUCCUCGAGGGACCACCUGUGGCGAAGGCGCCUCACCAGAACGGCUUCGACAGUGAGGGACGAAAGCUGGGGGAGCAAACCGGAUUAGAUACCCGGGUAGUCCCAGCCGUAAACGAUGCGCGUUAGGUGUAUCGGUGACCACGAGUUACCGAGGUGCCGAAGGGAAACCGUGAAACGCGCCGCCUGGGAAGUACGGUCGCAAGGCUGAAACCUAAAGGAAUUGGCGGGGGAGCAC